RNAcentral lists this ribosomal RNA (253 nucleotides) under uncultured bacterium. RNAcentral describes it as "partial 16S ribosomal RNA". It matches the Rfam family "Bacterial small subunit ribosomal RNA", at positions 524 to 776 of the family's 1533-position model. The record is from RNAcentral.
UACGUAGGGUGCGAGCGUUAUUCGGAAUUACUGGGCGUAAAGCGCGCGCAGGCGGUUUUGUAAGUCAGAUGUGAAAUCCCCGGGCUUAACCUGGGAAUGGCAUUUGGGACUGCAAGGCUGGAGUGUGGCAGAGGAGACUGGAAUUCCUGGUGUAGCAGUGAAAUGCGUAGAUAUCGGGAGGAACACCAGUGGCGAAGGCGACUACCUGGCCUGUUCUUGACGCUGAGGCGCGAAAGCUAGGGGAGCAAACGGG